RNAcentral lists this ribosomal RNA (497 nucleotides) under uncultured bacterium. RNAcentral describes it as "partial 16S ribosomal RNA". It matches the Rfam family "Bacterial small subunit ribosomal RNA", at positions 28 to 507 of the family's 1533-position model. The record is from RNAcentral.
GAUGAACGCUGGCGGCGUGCCUAAUACAUGCAAGUCGAGCGAACGGACGAGAAGCUUGCUUCUCUGAUGUUAGCGGCGGACGGGUGAGUAACACGUGGAUAACCUACCUAUAAGACUGGGAUAACUUCGGGAAACCGGAGCUAAUACCGGAUAAUAUUUUGAUCCGCAUGGGUCAAAAGUGAAAGACGGUCUUGGUGGCAGUUAUAGAUGGAUCCGCGCUGUAUUAGCUAGUUGGUAAGGUAACGGCUUACCAAGGCAACGAUGCAUAGCCGACCGGAGAGAGUGGUAGGCCACACUGGAACUGGGCCACGGUCCAUGCUACUACGGGAGGGCGCAGUAGGGAAUCGUCGGCAGUAGGCGAGAGCAUGGCGGAGCAACGCCGCGUGAGUGAUGACGGUCUUCGGAUCGUAAAACUCUGUUAUUAGGGAAGAACAUAUGUGUAAGUAAAUGUACACAUCUUGACGGUACCUAAUCAGAAAGCCACGGCUAACUACGUG